Molecule: non-coding RNA, 94 nt
Filed under: Clostridium polynesiense
Lineage: Bacteria; Bacillati; Bacillota; Clostridia; Eubacteriales; Clostridiaceae
Description: TPP riboswitch (THI element)
Rfam family: TPP riboswitch aptamer (THI element)
About the family: Vitamin B(1) in its active form thiamin pyrophosphate (TPP) is an essential coenzyme that is synthesised by coupling of pyrimidine and thiazole moieties in bacteria. The previously detected thiamin-regulatory element, thi box was extended, resulting in a new, highly conserved RNA secondary structure, the THI element, which is widely distributed in eubacteria and also occurs in some archaea.
Source: RNAcentral
UAUACAGGGGAGCUUGUAAAAGCAGGCUGAGAGGAAGCUGUAAGGUUUCGACCCUUUACCUGAUACGGAUAAUGCCGUCGUAGGGAGCAUAUUA